This 496-nucleotide ribosomal RNA is filed under the name uncultured bacterium. RNAcentral describes it as "partial 16S ribosomal RNA". It matches the Rfam family "Bacterial small subunit ribosomal RNA", at positions 30 to 523 of the family's 1533-position model. The record is from RNAcentral.
AUUGAACGCUGGCGGAAUGCUUUACACAUGCAAGUCGAACGGUAGAGGGGGCAACCCCUCGAGAGUGGCGAACGGGUGAGUAAUAUAUCGGAACGUGCCCAGUCGUGGGGGAUAACGUAGCGAAAGUUACGCUAAUACCGCAUACGAUCUAAGGAUGAAAGCGGGGGAUCGCAAGACCUCGCGCGAUUGGAGCGGCCGAUAUCAGAUUAGGUAGUUGGUGGGGUAAAGGCUCACCAAGCCAACGAUCUGUAGCUGGUCUGAGAGGACGACCGGCCGCACUGGAACUGAGACACGGUCCAGACUCCUACGGGAGGCAGCAGUGGGGAAUUUUGGACAAUGGACGCAAGUCUGAUCCAGCCAUUCCGCGUGCAGGAUGAAGGCCCUCGGGUUGUAAACUGCUUUUGUACGGAACGAAAAGGUCUCUCUUAAUACGGGGGACUCAUGACGGUACCGUAAGAAUAAGCACCGGCUAACUACGUGCCAGCCGCCGCGGUAA